Molecule: ribosomal RNA, 1372 nt
Filed under: uncultured bacterium
Lineage: Bacteria
Description: bacterial SSU rRNA
Rfam family: Bacterial small subunit ribosomal RNA
Source: RNAcentral
GAUGAACGCUGGCGGCGUGCCUAAUACAUGCAAGUCGAGCGAACAGACGAGGAGCUUGCUCCUUUGACGUUAGCGGCGGACGGGUGAGUAACACGUGGGUAACCUACCUAUAAGACUGGGAUAACUUCGGGAAACCGGAGCUAAUACCGGAUAAUAUUUCGAACCGCAUGGUUCGAUAGUGAAAGAUGGCCCUGCUAUCACUUAUAGAUGGACCUGCGCCGUAUUAGCUAGUUGGUAAGGUAACGGCUUACCAAGGCAACGAUACGUAGCCGACCUGAGAGGGUGAUCGGCCACACUGGAACUGAGACACGGUCCAGACUCCUACGGGAGGCAGCAGUAGGGAAUCUUCCGCAAUGGGCGAAAGCCUGACGGAGCAACGCCGCGUGAGUGAUGAAGGUCUUCGGAUCGUAAAACUCUGUUAUUAGGGAAGAACAAACGUGUAAGUAACUGUGCACGUCUUGACGGUACCUAAUCAGAAAGCCACGGCUAACUACGUGCCAGCAGCCGCGGUAAUACGUAGGUGGCAAGCGUUAUCCGGAAUUAUUGGGCGUAAAGCGCGCGUGGGCGGUUUUUUAAGUCUGAUGUGAAAGCCCACGGCUCAACCGUGGAGGGUCAUUGGAAACUGGAAAACUUGAGUGCAGAAGAGGAAAGUGGAAUUCCAUGUGUAGCGGUGAAAUGCGCAGAGAUAUGGAGGAACACCAGUGGCGAAGGCGACUUUCUGGUCUGUAACUGACGCUGAUGUGCGAAAGCGUGGGGAUCAAACAGGAUUAGAUACCCUGGUAGUCCACGCCGUAAACGAUGAGUGCUAAGUGUUAGGGGGUUUCCGCCCCUUAGUGCUGCAGCUAACGCAUUAAGCACUCCGCCUGGGGAGUACGACCGCAAGGUUGAAACUCAAAGGAAUUGACGGGGACCCGCACAAGCGGUGGAGCAUGUGGUUUAAUUCGAAGCAACGCGUAGAACCUUACCAAAUCUUGACAUCCUUUGACCCUUCUAGAGAUAGAAGUUUCCCCUUCGGGGGACAAAGUGACAGGUGGUGCAUGGUUGUCGUCAGCUCGUGUCGUGAGAUGUUGGGUUAAGUCCCGCAACGAGCGCAACCCUUAAGCUUAGUUGCCAUCAUUAAGUUGGGCACUCUAAGUUGACUGCCGGUGACAAACCGGAGGAAGGUGGGGAUGACGUCAAAUCAUCAUGCCCCUUAUGAUUUGGGCUACACACGUGCUACAAUGGACAAUACGAAGGGCAGCGAAACCGCGAGGUCAAGCAAAUCCCAUAAAGUUGUUCUCAGUUCGGAUUGUAGUCUGCAACUCGACUACAUGAAGCUGGAAUCGCUAGUAAUCGUAGAUCAGCAUGCUACGGUGAAUACGUUCCCGGGUCU